UCUCUGAAAGCAAUUAAUGUAUUGAGUGAGUGAUAUUGGAAAUGAAUAUUAUAUGUUCAAGUUGAAUUACAAAUGAAUAUUUAUUUUAGGCUACUGCUGAAAUAACAAUAACCUGAAAAUUGUACUUUAUUUGCAGAUAUUUUCUUCUUUCGGAAUAAGGAAGGAAGCAUAAGCUAUUCUCAGUGCUGUUGCAUGGAUGUUAGGAGUGUACUAAAACUACAAAAUUGCGGAAAUUUUCCGAUUGUUUUUCUUUAUGUCCAUACACUAUAAAGUGCAUCGUCUGAAUAUAUUUUAAAUCAAGCUUUCCAGUUUUAUGAAAGCUUCCUGUUUUGUUCAUAAUUUCAAAUAACUAUGUUUGCUUAUAACAUAAUUGUGACCUGACCAUUUUCUAUGAAGUUGAUUGAAGUAGAUAUUUGGUAAAUUUCAUGUUGAAUGAAAUACAGUUGUAAUUUGUUUUCUGUAUUUUAUAAUUAAAGCUAUACUUUGCAAACACCUUCUUCAAUGUUGUUAUUUGUUGAAACUAUAAACUCAAUCCAUCUAUUUGUUCUUAAUUAACUUAGUUUAAAAGUUUCAGGGAACAUGCAGUAGGUCUGUCUAUGCAUGUUUGANCUUGAUUUUGUUGAAAAAUCGAAUUUGGAGAAUUUUUAUGGUUUGGAAGAAGUUUUGAACAAUGAAGCAAAUGAAGAAAACUGAGUUUCUGCGUUCUGGUUAUGAUCAGUUUUCCUCGGCAGUUAACUGCCGAGGAAAUCCUCGGUAGUUUGCUGCCGCCGGUUCACUCAAAACUUCGGCAGUUAACUGCCAAAGGGCAUUUUGAUAUUUUACUCGUGUAGCACAUCCAUACUAUAUGUGGGAACAACAAUUCUCAUGAAAAAUACAGUAAGAAAUACUACCAAAAAAAAAAAAAAGAGAAAAACGACGUCGUUUAAUCUAAAGCAUUUUCAGAAACGAACGAACGCUUACAGUAUCUCACUGUCUUGAAUCGUGUUUUUCCAAACCCUAACUCUAAAGCUUCACCAUCAUCAUCAUCAUCUUCCUCCAAAAUCACCAACCUCAACCUUUCAUCCAUUUUUCCAAUUCACCUCUUUCUCUUCCCAAUUUUCAUUCCUCAAAACCCUAAUUUCACAUACAAUCCACAAUGAAAAGGAAGAGAAGUUCUUCUACGAAAUCAUCACAACAAGCGGUUUCUUCAGAUUUACCUAAUGAAUGUUGGGAAUUGAUCUUCAGAUUCAUCCUCAAAGACGAAAACAAUUUAGAUUAUUACUCAUUAUAUAUCUUGAAUUCUCUAUCCCUUGUCUCCAAACAGUUCCUCUCCAUCACCAACACUCUUCGAUUAUCACUCUCUGUCCCAUUUUCUAGAGGCAUGAUUCCCAUCUUCAAAAGAUUCACCGACAUAACCUCUCUCAAAUUCGAUCCUUUCCUUUACCCUGACCUCGACAAAAUUCUUUGCAAAGUCUCUCGUUUUCCUUUGAAGAAACUCACAUCACUCGAUAUUUCCUACCAAUGCACCAUUCCCGCAAAUGGGUUGCGAGUUUUCUCUCAAAAUAUUAGAACUUUGACCUCUCUCACUUGUUCCGACAUUGAUGAUUUUAAUACUACUGACUUGUUUCUUAUCGCAGAAUGUUUUCCUUUGCUUGAAGAACUCAACCUCAUUUUCCCUUCAGAUUGGAAAAGUAUAUAUAAAAAUUACAAUAACUAUUGUGAUGGGAUAGAGGCUCUUUCACUUGCAUUAGUCAAACUCCGUAAGGUUAAACUUUGUAGAUUUCCCAUGAGUGACAAGUCACUCUUUUACUUGUUCAACAGUUGUAAGCUUCUUGAAGAUGUUACCUUGUUUGAGUGUGAUCAAAUAACUAUUGCUGGAAUUGCUUCUGCUAUUCGUGAGAGACCAACAUUGAAGUCAUUAUCGUUUUGCAAUCGAACAUACUCUGAAAAUUCUAUUUCUAAUGAUGAUAUUUCGCAUUUUAAAGUUACUUCAGAUUUUAUUGACUCGCUGGUGAGUUUGAAGGGUUUGACUUCUCUUUCUUUGAGAUCUCUGGAUAUCUCUGAUGAAAUGCUCUACUCUAUUGCGAGGGAAGGUCUACCUUUGACGAGGCUUGCCCUCAGAUAUUGCUUGGACUAAAGCUAUGCUGGAAUCUUUUGUUUGUCAUCUAAGUGUCGAGGUUUGCAACACAUGGAUCUUGAACAUGCCAUUUUCCUGAAUGAUCACUAUGUUGAUGAGUUUUCUUUGUUUAUUGGUGAUUUAGUGUCUGUAAACCUUAGUCAAUGUUUGGAGAUCACAUAUUCAUCCUUGUUUGCACUCGUUAGGAAUUGUCCUUCACUUAGUGAGAUCAAAAUGGAAAAUAUAGGGAGUAAGAGUUUAGACAAUUCUGAUUCUUUGCCGGAUUUUGGUGUAUACCCUCAAUUGAAGUCUCUCUAUUUGGCUUACAAUACAUGGGUAAGGGAUGAACACAUCAUAAUGUUUUCUUCCAUUUUUCCUAAUUUGAAGCUGUUUGAUUUGAACUCUUGCAAUCACAUAUCGGAAGGCAUUUGUCAAGUUUUAAGGAGGUGUUCUAAUAUUAGGCAUUUAAAUUUAGCCCACUGUUCAAGAGUGAAUCUACUUGAAGUGAACUUCGUAAAACACUCUAUGUGAUCUCAAAGUAUUGUUGUGGACUUUUGAAACUAUUUGUGAACAAUUGUAAUGAUGUCACAGAGAAAGGAGUGAAACAUGUGAAAGAAAACUGCUCACAACUGAGGGAGCAUGGAUACAUUCGGCACUAUUCUGAAAGUGUUGUGCUGAAAGUUUGAACUCUGUAAGUGGUUUUUGUUUUAAGAUUUAGUUCUUUGAGAAAUUAAUAUUUUAAAAUGUCAACUUACGAAUGUGCAUUUACUCAUCAAUUUGUGCAUUAUAAUUCCCUAAAUAUAUUCGCGUAAUAUUCUUUUGAAACUAUGUGUGGACAAUUACGUUUUUUGAAGUUACCAAGUGAAUAUAACAAAAAUAAUGUAUUUUUCUUAGCUUGAAAUAUCUUACAUGUGAACUCAAAACCAAAGUAUCUUGGGGUGUGAGUAGAAUUCUACAUUCAAUUCAAAUAUAUGUGAAACAAAGAUGUUUCAAUGUUGAACAUUUAGUUUUUUACACUAAGGUUAAUUAGAUAGAACUAAGGUUCCUUAGUUGCACUUCCUUCACUUUCAAUUUUGGCAAUUAUAGAUUUUGAAAUGCUCCACUGUUGUCACUGUAAAGGGAUGGUUUUUGAGAAUUUUAUGUUUAGAAUUAGAAUUACUAUUUCUUUUCUAAUUACAGGCUUAGGAAGUGUCCAAACUAUUAACUUGCUUCAUAUAUCUAUUGGAUUAUCGUGAUAGUAACAAAAUUACGACAUCUUCUUUAUGCUUUUCUUGAUCGAACCAGCAACUAAUAGGAUCUUAAGAGUUUAUAGUUUUCACAACAGAUAGAACACUAACAUGUUGUUUAAUCAUUAAAUUGUCUCUUAUACUUAUCCCACGGCUGAAGUCUUGACACAUUGCUUCCUUCCCUAUGUUUUUUUUGUCUCUUUACAUUAGGUAUGUUUUAUCAGAUCUUUGAAAUGUUAGCUCUAAAUCUUGUCUCUUUACGUUAGUUCCAUUUGAGUUAGCUGGUGAAAUAUUACAGGGCAAAUGACAUUGGUGAUACCAGUAUUUCCUAUAAAACUCGUAAGCAUGGAAGAAAUUAAUUGAUUAAAACUAGACAAUUAUUCUACUUUAAGUGACAAAAACAUCACAAUUACAAGAUCGGACUUCUCAAAUUGGUUUUUGCAACUACUGCAUCUGGCCAUGUUUCAAAUCAGAUUUUGGUGGAGUUUAAGUCUCUUCUCCCUCUUCAAUAGUUUAUUAGCAAUGAUAACCAAAUUGCUCAUCUAUUGCAUGAUCCCUGAAACUCAAUGGAUAUAAUUAGAGACUUAGGCUUAUCACCAAUUGUUAUUAACUAUAAAUUGUACACCUGUGAAACUUUUACAUGCUGACUUUUCUGCAAGAACAUGUUAUACAAGCUUCUUUAUCUUUUCCAUAUAGAAAUCUGAAUUUUUAAUUAAUAAUAAAAACAUAGUUCCAGUAUUUCCCAAAUUCAAUUAAAAAUAGUUUUGCAACUUCAUUUCUACUAUCAACAACACAUACUUCUCUUGAACUCUGGUUGUGUAGAUAAUCUUUUGAAUGCAAUGUACUUGGAGAUCAAUUGUUGUGAUUUUAAUUCCUUUUGUUUCUCUGAAAGCAAUUAAUGUAUUGAGUGAGUGAUAUUGGAAAUGAAUAUUAUUAUGUUCAAGGUGAAUUACAAAUGAAUAUUUAUUUUAGGCUACUGCUGAAAUAACAAUAACCUGAAAAUUGUACUUUAUUUGCAGAUAUUUUCUUCUUUCGGAAUAAGGAAGGAAGCAUAAGCUAUUCUCAGCCUCCGUGUCUUGUUGCAUGGAUGUUAGGAGUGUACUAAAACUACAAAAUUGUGGAAAUUUUUCAAGUGUUUUUCUUUAUGUCCAUACACUAUAAAGUGCAUCGUCUGAAUAUAUUUUAAAUCAAGCUUUCCAGUUUUAUGAAAGCUUCCUGUUUUGUUCAUAAUUUCAAAUAACUAUGUUUGCUUAUAACAUAAUUGUGACCUGACCAUUUUCUAUGACGUUGAUUGAAGUAGAUAUUUGGUAAAUUUCAUGUUGAUUGAUAUACAGUUGUAAUUUGUUUUCUGUAUUUUAUAAUUAAAG
RNAcentral lists this long non-coding RNA (4688 nucleotides) under Medicago truncatula (barrel medic). RNAcentral describes it as "long non-coding RNA (MTRU_LNC004846)". The record is from RNAcentral. Lineage: Eukaryota; Viridiplantae; Streptophyta; Magnoliopsida; Fabales; Fabaceae.